Molecule: ribosomal RNA, 300 nt
Filed under: uncultured Acetobacteraceae bacterium
Lineage: Bacteria; Pseudomonadati; Pseudomonadota; Alphaproteobacteria; Acetobacterales; Acetobacteraceae
Description: bacterial SSU rRNA
Rfam family: Bacterial small subunit ribosomal RNA
Source: RNAcentral
GCGUAGGAACGUAUCCAGAGGUGGGGGACAACCCCGGGAAACUGGGGCUAAUACCGCAUAUGAGCCGAGGCUCAAAGCAGUGAUGCGCCUUUGGAGCGGCCUGCGUCCGAUUAGCUAGUUGGUGGGGUAAAGGCCUACCAAGGCCGCGAUCGGUAGCUGGUCUGAGAGGACGACCAGCCACACUGGGACUGAGACACGGCCCAGACUCCUACGGGAGGCAGCAGUGGGGAAUAUUGGACAAUGGGCGCAAGCCUGAUCCAGCAAUGCCGCGUGUGUGAAGAAGGUCUUCGGAUCGUAAAG